Molecule: ribosomal RNA, 427 nt
Filed under: uncultured bacterium
Lineage: Bacteria
Description: partial 16S ribosomal RNA
Rfam family: Bacterial small subunit ribosomal RNA
Source: RNAcentral
UGGGGAAUAUUGGACAAUGGGCGAAAGCCUGAUCCAGCCAUGCCGCGUGUGUGAAGAAGGUCUUCGGAUUGUAAAGCACUUUAAGUUGGGAGGAAGGGCAUUAACCUAAUACGUUAGUGUUUUGACGUUACCGACAGAAUAAGCACCGGCUAACUCUGUGCCAGCAGCCGCGGUAAUACAGAGGGUGCAAGCGUUAAUCGGAAUUACUGGGCGUAAAGCGCGCGUAGGUGGUUUGUUAAGUUGGAUGUGGAAUCCCCGGGCUCAACCUGGGAACUGCAUUCAAGACUGACUGACUAGAGUAUGGUAGAGGGUGGUGGAAUUUCCUGUGUAGCGGUGAAAUGCGUAGAUAUAGGAAGGAACACCAGUGGCGAAGGCGACCACCUGGACUAAUACUGACACUGAGGUGCGAAAGCGUGGGGAGCAAACA